Molecule: long non-coding RNA, 513 nt
Organism: Xenopus laevis (African clawed frog)
Lineage: Eukaryota; Metazoa; Chordata; Amphibia; Anura; Pipidae
Exons: 5
Source: RefSeq, a predicted model, not a curated record
GUCAUUGAAUUAAGCAGUGAGUCAUGAAAACCACAUUCUAAUCCACUUAAAGAGAAAGGGCAGCUGCCAUACAAGCAGCAAGGGCAGGAGUGAGCUCAGCGAUCUGGAAAUUGCAUUGAAACAAUGUAGCACAGAACAGACGGGUGUAAAUGACAAAAGCAGAUGGAGAUCCACAUACGGGGAAGCAGAAGCCAAGACACAGAGAGAUAAAGGGAGAGGCUGGGAAGGAUACACAGUGGGACUGAGCACAAAGCCAGGGGUGCAACAAGACCAACCGAAAACAGUUCAAUCUUGUCUGUUACCUGGUGCUCCUAAUCCUUCUCUAUGAGCUGAGGUACGAGGAACUGCCUCAACUGACUCACACGCGGAACCAGGUGUUAGAGAUCUCAAGACGUCUGUCCCACCCCAGGACGGAAAGAUCGGACGUCAGCUCUCAGGUUGCUAGGGCCCAAUUUACCCUAGCAACAAUUUUCCGCUUUCGGACGUCCGUGACGCUGAGGAUCCACUUUAAAU